This 118-nucleotide ribosomal RNA is filed under the name Kosakonia oryziphila. Its description in RNAcentral is "16S rRNA. Bacterial SSU". It matches the Rfam family "Bacterial small subunit ribosomal RNA", at positions 1 to 111 of the family's 1533-position model. The record is from RNAcentral. Lineage: Bacteria; Pseudomonadati; Pseudomonadota; Gammaproteobacteria; Enterobacterales; Enterobacteriaceae.
UUAAAUUGAAGAGUUUGAUCAUGGCUCAGAUUGAACGCUGGCGGCAGGCCUAACACAUGCAAGUCGAACGGUAGCACAGAGAGCUUGCUCUCGGGUGACGAGUGGCGGACGGGUGAGU